CUCCAUCAACGUCAGAGCAUACCUAGACAGCGUUUUCCGUUGGACUAUAGGACAAAGUUCUUGGACUUUGAUUCAAAUUUAUUGUACCAGGUCUUCGAAUUGGAAUCACUUGACUAUCUUUCUGUGUAGAAAACUCAUAGAAGCGCAGAAAACGGUCUUUAACAUAAUAAAGAUAGUCUCCACUUACAGAAAAUGCAGGUCAUUCUCUCUCCAAUUUAAAAACGAUCAUGCCACUAUCAUGACCUGCUGCCAAAAGGUUCAUUUCAAGAUGAGAUGCCAGAAUCCAGAACCGCCAAAAUGAUUACUGGAGACGAAGAAAACGCACGCAGAUAAGAAUGACUUCCGCAUGCAGAUCAAGAAACAUGGGCUUCAAAGGAUUAAAGUUCUGUAUACCCAGCUGCUGGCUCAGCAAGCGCAUUGCAGUGUCAAAAUUGCCAGCUGCUGCUUGCUCCCCAGCAAGAGAUGAUUUCUGAAUCCAUAUCUGGCUUACAGGCAUGCCUGGAGUUGAAAUGACAAACUCAGCAGAGCGGGUAUUAGCAGAAACCUUUGGAGUAUCAACUUCAGGAGGUAGCUCAAGAUCCUCAAGGUCCCAUCCCCCUUCCUCAUCAUUUUCAUCAUUUGUUUCCCCAACUUCCACUGCCCCAACAUCUCCAUUUCGCGCACCUUCACCAUCAACAAUAUCUAAUUCUUUGCCUCAGUCAGCACCAGCAGCCUCUUCAUCUUCCUCCCGUACUCCCCUGCCUAUAUUUUCCACUCCACCCUAAAAAAUGCCUCCAUAAUCCUGGGCAAGAGCCAGUCUCCACCACAUAGGAUGGGUGAGGGGGCAUCAAAAGUGAAGGUACUUUUCCCUGCAGAAAAGAAGGAACAUUGUCUCCCAAUUUAGCUUCUAAUUGUUCAGCAACAUCAUUGAGCCCAUGAACUGUAAAGCUUUGAACUUCCUCAAAAAAAAAAAAACAUCAUUGGGUCCAUGAACUGUAGCUGUCAUAUAAGCAAGGGGAGAAUGUUGGCAUUCUCCAGAAUUUUAAUACGCUCGUGUAUGUCACCCAGAUACAGUCAUACAGGACAUUGCGGAACUGACUCAUUACAUCAUUCUUGAGCCCUGCAAUUUUCAGCAUUUUCGACAACAUGCAGAUAUUCCCCAUCACAAGAUAAAGGAAGGAAAACCUAUCAAAAUUCUUUGUUCUUUGGUAAGCAUAUUCAACAAUGCCAGCAUUGCCUUGACAAAGGGCUUCCACUCCUAACCUAUACCAGUGAUCUUUUUCAUCAAUUGCAUUCUCUAAAGCAACAGUAAUCUGGAUGUUGACACUCUCUAUUGCCAAGUAAAAACGAGUCCUCUCAUCUUUCACAAAAUGGAGAGCAACUUCUGGGAAUCCUUCUGCUGCAGAUAGGGAAUCAUGGCUUGUCCACAGAGCUGUGAAUUCCUGAUGAAGCUGAUGACUUGGUCAUAUUUCUUCUUUAGAAGGGAGAGCUUAAAUACAUAUUCUGUUGCAUCAAUAAUAACUGCCCUGUUCUUCCAAUCCCAAUCCAAGCAAAAUAAGGUAUUUCCAGAAAUUUCCGUGAUGUAUAUUGGGACAUCAAGGGUCUUGAUGAUUCCACUGUCUCCAUUUGGAAGGCAAUACUUGAUGUGGUUCAGGAUUUUAUAUACGAAGACUCCAUUGUCAUCCCAGGCUCCGCUCUUUACAUGGAUUGUCUCAUGAAGAGUGCAUCAAUGGACAAGUUUCUUACUAGCAAUAGAGUGUUUGUUCAGCGAUGCAAUACUCUCCAUGUCAUUUGACCAAACAACAUACUUUAUGAAUGGAGUUUGAAGAUCACCACGAACAAACCUCUGCUAAGGAUAAAGAAUAACCACUCUAUCCUCCGCUCUGCAAAACAAUUGCCUGUCCCAACACAAAAUAUUGCGUCAGCAACAAUAGGUAGGAUGCUCUUCUUUACUAUCUUGUUCUUCAGGUUCUUCACUAACACUUGAUUGUUGCUCUUGUCGCACAGCAAACCUAUUACAAGUCACAAAUACAGCUGACCCUCCAACUCCUCUUUUUGCAUCUUGAAUGGUAUCAUCUCUAGAAAUGCUAUCUUUAGGUAUAGUAUAAAGCUCAUAAGAACUCCAAUCAACAUCAGAGCAUACCAAGACAUCGUUUUCCGCUGCACUAUAUGACAAAGUUCUUGGACUUUGAUUCAAACUGGUAGUACAGGUCUUCGAAUUGGAAUCACUUGACUAUCUUUCUGAGUAGAAAACUCAUAGAAGCGCAGGAAACGGUGUUUAACAUUAUAAAGUAAGUCCCCGUUUACAGAUAAUGCAGGUCGUUCUCUCUCCAAUUUAAAAACAAUCAUGCCACUAUCAUGGCCUGC
This 2346-nucleotide long non-coding RNA is filed under the name Aquilegia coerulea. Its description in RNAcentral is "long non-coding RNA (ACOE_LNC000230)". Lineage: Eukaryota; Viridiplantae; Streptophyta; Magnoliopsida; Ranunculales; Ranunculaceae. The record is from RNAcentral.